Molecule: ribosomal RNA, 1389 nt
Filed under: Photorhabdus luminescens
Lineage: Bacteria; Pseudomonadati; Pseudomonadota; Gammaproteobacteria; Enterobacterales; Morganellaceae
Description: bacterial LSU rRNA
Rfam family: Bacterial large subunit ribosomal RNA
Source: RNAcentral
CCAUCCCGGCYUACCAACCCGAUGCAAACUGCGAAUACCGAAGAAUGGUAUCACGGGAGACACACGGCGGGUGCUAACGUCCGUCGUGAAGAGGGAAACAACCCAGACCGCCAGCUAAGGUCCCGAAGUCAUGGUUAAGUGGGAAACGAUGUGGGAAGGCCCAGACAGCCAGGAUGUUGGCUUAGAAGCAGCCAUCAUUGAAAGAAAGCGUAAUAGCUCACUGGUCGAGUCGGCCUGCGCGGAAGAUGUAACGGGGCUAAACCAUGCACCGAAGCUGCGGCAUUCAGAGGACAGAUUUCAGACGACAGAGGACGGAUUAAUGUCAUAUGGAUUCGAGCAAUUGGAAGUGUUUAAGAAAGCUUACCGAAUUUCAUUAGAGAUUCAUCAGGCGAGUUUGGCAUUUCCUCGGUACGAACAAUAUGGAUUAGCAGACCAAGUAAGGCGGGCAAGUAAGGGCAUUUGUGCCAAUCUUGCCGAGGGCUUUGGUAAGCAACAUUAUUCCAAACCUGAGUUUAGACGUUUCAUUAGUAUAGCCUUAGGGAGUGCUGAUGAGAUGCGUGUCUGGUUAAGAUACUGUCUGGAUUUAGGUUAUAUUACUGCGGUUCAGUGGCAGGAAUGGCGUGACAGCUAUGAAGAGAUAGCGAAAAUGCUGACCGGACUGGGACGUCAUCUGUAAGCUGUAUUCUGACGUCUGUUCUCUGGAUGGGUAGGGGAGCGUUCUGUAAGCCGUUGAAGGUGGCGCUGUGAGGCCCGCUGGAGGUAUCAGAAGUGCGAAUGCUGACAUAAGUAACGAUAAAGCGGGUGAAAAACCCGCUCGCCGGAAGACCAAGGGUUCCUGUCCAACGUUAAUCGGGGCAGGGUGAGUCGACCCCUAAGGCGAGGCCGAACGGCGUAGCUGAUGGGAAACAGGUUAAUAUUCCUGUACUGAAUGUGACUGCGAAGGGGGGACGGAGAAGGCUAGGCCAUCCGGGCGACGGUCGUCCCGGUUUAAGCGUGUAGAUGGGAGGAGCAGGCAAAUCCGCUCUUCUUUAACACUGAGGCGUGAUGACGAGCUGCUACGGCAGUGAAGUGGUUGAUGCCCGGCUUCCAGGAAAAGCCUCUAAGCGUCAGGUCAUAUUGAAUCGUACCCCAAACCGACACAGGUGGUCAGGUAGAGCAUACUCAGGCGCUUGAGAGAACUCGGGUGAAGGAACUAGGCAAAAUGGUGCCGUAACUUCGGGAGAAGGCACGCUGGCAGUAGGUGAAGGAGUUUGCCUCCGGAGCCGAAGCCAGUCGCAGAGACCAGCUGGCUGCAACUGUUUAUUAAAAACACAGCACUGUGCAAACACGUAAGUGGACGUAUACGGUGUGACGCCUGCCCGGUGCUGGAAGGUUAAUUGAUGGGUAUCC